RNAcentral lists this ribosomal RNA (522 nucleotides) under fungal sp. RNAcentral's name for it is "eukaryotic LSU rRNA". The stretch from base 153 to 306 matches the Rfam family "5.8S ribosomal RNA". Lineage: Eukaryota; Fungi. The record is from RNAcentral.
GUGGGGCCUCGAAUUUACUCCAAACCCCUGUGACAUACCUAUACGUUGCCUCGGCGGAUCAGCCCGCGCCCCGUAAAACGGGACGGCCCGCCCGAGGACCCCUAAACUCUGUUUUUAGUGGAACUUCUGAGUAAAACAAACAAAUAAAUCAAAACUUUCAACAACGGAUCUCUUGGUUCUGGCAUCGAUGAAGAACGCAGCAAAAUGCGAUAAGUAAUGUGAAUUGCAGAAUUCAGUGAAUCAUCGAAUCUUUGAACGCACAUUGCGCCCGCCAGUAUUCUGGCGGGCAUGCCUGUUCGAGCGUCAUUUCAACCCUCAAGCUCAGCUUGGUGUUGGGACUCGCGGUAACCCGCGUUCCCCAAAUCGAUUGGCGGUCACGUCGAGCUUCCAUAGCGUAGUAAUCAUACACCUCGUUACUGGUAAUCGUCGCGGCCACGCCGUAAAACCCCAACUUCUGAAUGUUGACCUCGGAUCAGGUAGGAAUACCCGCUGAACUUAAGCAUAUCAAUACCCGGGGAGGAA